GCGGUGGAUGAUGUGGUUAAUUCGAUGCAACGCGAAAACCUUACCCACCUUGACAUGGCAGGAAUCCCGAAGAGAUUUGGGAGUGCUCGAACGAGAACCUGCACACAGGUGCUGCAUGGCUGUCGCAGCUCGUGUCGUGAGAUGUUGGGUUAAGUCCCGCAACGAGCGCAACCCUUGCCAUUAGUUGCUACGAAAGGGCACUCUAAUGGGACUGCCGGUGACAAACCGGAGGAAGGUGGGGAUGACGUCAAGUCCUCAUGGCCCUUAUAGGUGGGGCUACACACGUCAUACAAUGGCCGGUACAGAGGGUAGCCAACCCGCGAGGGGGGAGCCAAUCCCACAAAGCCGGUCGUAGUCCGGAUCGCAGUCUGCAACUCGACUGCGUGAAGUCGGAAUCGCUAGUAAUCGCGGAUCAGCAUGUCGCGGUGAAUACGUUCCCGGGUCUU
Molecule: ribosomal RNA, 446 nt
Filed under: uncultured Allobrachymonas sp.
Lineage: Bacteria; Pseudomonadati; Pseudomonadota; Betaproteobacteria; Burkholderiales; Comamonadaceae
Description: bacterial SSU rRNA
Rfam family: Bacterial small subunit ribosomal RNA
Source: RNAcentral